UAAGCCAUGGUGGAGGCGCGGCGCACAGCUCAGUAACACGUGGUUAACCUACCCUUGGGACGGGAAACAACCCCGGGAAACUGGGGCUAAUUUCCGAUAGGUGAAGACUCCUGGAAUGGGUCUCCACCGAAAGGGCGUCUAGACCAUGCUUCUGGACGCUGCCCAAGGAUGGGGCCGCGGCCGAUCAGGUUGUUGGUGAGGUAACGGCUCACCAAGCCUAUAACCGGUACGGGCCGUGGGAGCGGGAGCCCGGAGAUGGGCACUGAGACAAGGGCCCAGGCCCUACGGGGCGCAGCAGUCGCGAAACCUCCGCAAUACACGAAAGUGUGGCAGGGUCAUCCCGAGUGCCGUCCGCUGAGGACGGCUUUUCCCCAGUGUAGAUAGCUGGGGGAAUAAGGAGAGGGCAAGUCUGGUGUCAGCCGCCGCGGUAAUACCAGCUCUCCGAGUGCCGGGGACGUUUAUUGGGCCUAAAGCAUCCGUAGCCGGCUGGGCAAGUCCCCCGUUAAAUCCACCGAUUCAAUCGUUGGACUGCAGGGGAUACUGCCCAGCUAGGGGGCGAGAGAGGCCGAUGGUAUUUCCGGGGUAGGGGUGAAAUCCUAUAAUCCCGGAAGGACCACCAGUGGCGAAGGCUGUCGGCUAGAACGCGCCCGACGGUGAGGGAUGAAAGCUGGGGGAGCGAACCGGAUUAGAUACCCGGGUAGUCCCAGCUGUAAACUAUCCAGGCUAGGUGUUUGGGCGGCCACGGGCCGCCCUAGUGCCCCAGGGAAGCUGUUAAGCCUGCCGCCUGGGGAGUACGGCCGCAAGGCUGAAACUUAAAGGAAUUGGCGGGGGAGCACCACAAGGGGUGAAGCUUGCGGUUUAAUUGGAUUCACACGCCGGA
RNAcentral lists this ribosomal RNA (880 nucleotides) under uncultured Thermoprotei archaeon. Its description in RNAcentral is "bacterial SSU rRNA". It matches the Rfam family "Archaeal small subunit ribosomal RNA", at positions 59 to 922 of the family's 1478-position model. The record is from RNAcentral. Lineage: Archaea; Thermoproteati; Thermoproteota; Thermoprotei.